CCUACGGGUGGCAGCAGUGAGGAAUAGUGGUCAAUGGCCGGAAGGCUGAACCAGCCAAGCCGCGUGAAGGACGAAGGUGCCAAGCAUUGUAAACUUCUUUUGUCAAGGGACAAAAUCAGGCGCGAGAGCCUGACCGAGGGUACUGGAAGAAAAAGCAUCGGCUAACUCCGUGCCAGCAGCCGCGGUAAUACGGAGGAUGCGAGCGUUAUCCGGAUUUAUUGGGGUCAAAGGGUGCGUAGGCGGACUGUUAAGUCAGCGGUAAAAGCCCGGGGCUCCACCCCGGCGAGCCGUUGAAACUGGCUGUCUUUAGCUGUCGAGAUGUAUGCGGAUUGCGCCUUGUAGCGGU
Molecule: ribosomal RNA, 346 nt
Filed under: uncultured bacterium
Lineage: Bacteria
Description: partial 16S ribosomal RNA
Rfam family: Bacterial small subunit ribosomal RNA
Source: RNAcentral